AUACAGCUGACGAGUUCCAAACAGGACGAAACGCAAGUCCUGUU
RNAcentral lists this non-coding RNA (44 nucleotides) under Schistosoma mansoni. Lineage: Eukaryota; Metazoa; Platyhelminthes; Trematoda; Strigeidida; Schistosomatidae. The record is from RNAcentral.